GGAGUGGCAGAGCACCCGGUUUGCAUCCGGGAGAUGAGAGUUCGAUUCUCUCUGAGUCCA
Molecule: transfer RNA, 60 nt
Filed under: bacterium
Lineage: Bacteria
Description: tRNA-Ala
Rfam family: tRNA
About the family: Transfer RNA (tRNA) molecules are approximately 80 nucleotides in length. Their secondary structure includes four short double-helical elements and three loops (D, anti-codon, and T loops). Further hydrogen bonds mediate the characteristic L-shaped molecular structure. tRNAs have two regions of fundamental functional importance: the anti-codon, which is responsible for specific mRNA codon recognition, and the 3' end, to which the tRNAs corresponding amino acid is attached (by aminoacyl-tRNA synthetases). tRNAs cope with the degeneracy of the genetic code in two manners: having more than one tRNA (with a specific anti-codon) for a particular amino acid; and 'wobble' base-pairing, i.e. permitting non-standard base-pairing at the 3rd anti-codon position.
Source: RNAcentral